RNAcentral lists this ribosomal RNA (801 nucleotides) under uncultured bacterium. RNAcentral describes it as "bacterial SSU rRNA". It matches the Rfam family "Bacterial small subunit ribosomal RNA", at positions 87 to 884 of the family's 1533-position model. The record is from RNAcentral.
AUGAUUCAGCGGCGGACGGGUGAGUAAUGCCUAGGAAUCUGCCUGGUAGUGGGGGACAACGUUUCGAAAGGAACGCUAAUACCGCAUACGUCCUACGGGAGAAAGUGGGGGAUCUUCGGACCUCACGCUAUCAGAUGAGCCUAGGUCGGAUUAGCUAGUUGGUGAGGUAAAGGCUCACCAAGGCGACGAUCCGUAACUGGUCUGAGAGGAUGAUCAGUCACACUGGAACUGAGACACGGUCCAGACUCCUACGGGAGGCAGCAGUGGGGAAUAUUGGACAAUGGGCGAAAGCCUGAUCCAGCCAUGCCGCGUGUGUGAAGAAGGUCUUCGGAUUGUAAAGCACUUUAAGUUGGGAGGAAGGGCAGUAAGUUAAUACCUUGCUGUUUUGACGUUACCAACAGAAUAAGCACCGGCUAACUUCGUGCCAGCAGCCGCGGUAAUACGAAGGGUGCAAGCGUUAAUCGGAAUUACUGAGCGUAAAGCGCGCGUAGGUGGUUCGUUAAGUUGGAUGUGAAAGCCCCGGGCUCAACCUGGGAACUGCAUCCAAAACUGGCGAGCUAGAGUAUGGCAGAGGGUGGUGGAAUUUCCUGUGUAGCGGUGAAAUGCGUAGAUAUAGGAAGGAACACCAGUGGCGAAGGCGACCACCUGGGCUAAUACUGACACUGAGGUGCGAAAGUGUGGGGAGCAAACAGGAUUAGAUACCCUGGUAGUCCACGCCGUAAACGAUGUCGACUAGCCGUUGGGAUCCUUGAGAUCUUAGUGGCGCAGCUAACGCAUUAAGUCGACCGCCUGGGGAGUACG